CGCGUGGGGAACCUGCCCUAUACAGGGGGAUAACAGCUGGAAACGGCUGCUAAUACCGCAUAAGCGCACAGAAUCGCAUGAUUCAGUGUGAAAAGCCCUGGCAGUAUAGGAUGGUCCCGCGUCUGACUAGCUGGUUGGUGAGGUAACGGCUCACCAAGGCGACGAUCAGUAGCCGGCUUGAGAGAGUGAACGGCCACAUUGGGACUGAGACACGGCCCAA
Molecule: ribosomal RNA, 220 nt
Filed under: uncultured bacterium
Lineage: Bacteria
Description: partial 16S ribosomal RNA
Rfam family: Bacterial small subunit ribosomal RNA
Source: RNAcentral